Peromyscus maniculatus bairdii (prairie deer mouse) is the source of this 521-nucleotide long non-coding RNA. RefSeq lists it as uncharacterized. The record is from RefSeq and is a predicted model, not a curated record. NCBI's taxonomy places the organism in Eukaryota, Metazoa, Chordata, Mammalia, Rodentia, Cricetidae.
UGUAACAAUCUUUGACAACUCAUUAGAAUUUAAUUUGUUACAGUAUUUUUCCUUUCUAGGUCAUUUAGGGAGAAGACAGUGGUCUAAUUCUCUAAGUAAAAGAAGAUGAAAAUUUAAACAAAUCAAAUGCACAGAUGACAUCCAGUCACUGAAAUAUUGCUUAGAGUUUAAAGAGGACAGAUCUGCAUGGAUCUGAGGACUGGCCAUGGACUUGAAGCUGACAGGAACUGAUCCAAACCUAGAGGCAGUCUGUGAGUGGUAUGAGGCCACUAGACUCUCCUCCACCUCCAAUGGCUGUGGUGAGACAGCACCAUCAAAGGCAUGCUACAAUCUGCCAUGUUUGGACCAAGAUGCUGGUGAGAUCUGAGAUCUGUCCCAUCUGGAAAUCCCAAGAAGGUGGUAUUUAAAAAUUCCCUCUGUGAGGAAGAAUUGUAGGAGCCAGUGGGGGUGGGGUCAAGCACUCCACAAGAAAACUCACAGAUCUGGGCUUCUAGGGGCUCACAGAGACUGAACGGCAACCA